This 2179-nucleotide ribosomal RNA is filed under the name marine sediment metagenome. Its description in RNAcentral is "eukaryotic LSU rRNA". It matches the Rfam family "Eukaryotic large subunit ribosomal RNA", at positions 1 to 2390 of the family's 3401-position model. The record is from RNAcentral.
AAUUUUUGUAAGGGUUACCUCUGGUAACUAUUGUAGUUCAGUGUUAUUAAAAACUCCUCUAUAGUCGAAUAUAUUCGUACUGUUAUCUUUAUCUCAAUUUAAUAGAACAGAAAAUUUAUUUUCAAUGAAAUAAUUGUGUAUACUAAUAACUCUUUUUUACCUGAGCUGCAUUAGCGAACGUACUGAAUUUAAGCAUAUUAAUAAGUACGAACCAAAAUAAAUAUGAAACCUUGAGUACUGGCGAAGGAAAAAGGUCUACGGUCAGCGAAGACUAUAUUCAUUUAUAGUCAUUGUGUUGUUUACUCAUGAGUCUGAGUUAAGAUAAAAGCUGCAUCGAAUUAUGCGGAAAUAUUGGUGAAAUCCCAAAUAUAUCUUAAUUUUACUUACAGUAAAUGUCAAGUAGCGGUUACUUCAAAAUGUAGCGUGAAUCCGGAGGUAACCACCUUCGAACCGUAAUCAUUAUCCAAUUCCAAUAGCAUAACAGUACCGUGAGGGAAAAGUGAAAAGGCGACUAUAUAGUCAGUUAAAAGAAACUCAACUAUAAGAGUAGAAGGUCGUAAAUAGGAGAUAUAGAACUUGAAAACCUCUAUUGAUUGAAAUUGUUUUAUAGACAUUUCUAAGCUUUCUAUUUACUACGCCCGUCUUGAAACACGGACCAAGGAGUCAUUCGCCACUGCAAACUGAAACCUUAGUUGUGAAAGUGUAUUUCAGUAGUGUUGAAUGGACCCGAAAGGUGGUGAACUAUUCCUGAGAGGGUAAAAGCCAGGGGAAACGCUGGCAGAUGACCUAUGUGAUACUGACGUGCAAUUCGUUCAUUUUACUUGGGAAUAGGGGCGAAAGACUAAUCGAACCACUUAGUAGCUGGUUCCUCUCGAAGUUUCUCCUAGGAUAGCGGACAUGUUAUGAAAUCACAUACAUUAGAGCAAUGUUUUGAGGAUCCGGGGACAACUGUUCUUGACCUAGUCACAAACUACUAACAUAUGUUGAUUGUAAGUUUAUUCACUUUCAAUCGUUGAUUUACAUGUCUCGUGGACCGUUUUUGGUAAGCAGAUACGGUGCUUUGGAAUGCUCCAAGCAUGAUGGAAAGGGAUAUAACUCUUCGUUUAUUUCUUUAAAAGGUGUUUAUACAUUUAAACAGUCCGAGGAUGGCCAUGGAAGUAGGAAUUCCCUAAGGAGUGUGUAACAACUCACGGACCGAAUGGAUAAGCCCUUAAAAUGGACUGUGUUAAAACGAUGGGCCCGUAUCAUCAUAGCUCAAUAUAUUCUAUUGAGUUUGUAGAGAGGCGUGUCCAUUGAAUGGAAGUUCGGUUUUGAGACCGGGUGGAUCAAUGGACAUUGUAGAUCUUGGUAGAAGUAGCAACAUUUUAGUUUUAAACUAAAAGACGGAUGAAGGAGAGGUUUUUAUGGAUACAUUAUAUGGCUAUAAGUGAACCGAUCUUAACAACAUUAAUUAUGUUGGAAAAGGAAUCAGGCUUUCAUUCCUGAGUUCGGAGGAUUAAUAAUUGCGGUGACGUUUCAUCUACUAAAAUGUCUAGGGUGUACUUUCUGGCUGCGUUCUCUAUGCUCCUUAACUCCCUACGUAUUGUUGAAGAGAUUUAGUCUAAGACACAAUAUUAGGGCAGGAAUUAUGUAUUUAUACAAGAUCGGUACACCAUUGCGCUCACUUUAAGUAGAUAAUAUGUCCUCCGAUUCGUACCAAUAACCGCAUCAGGUCUCUAGGGUUCAAAACCUUUCGUUUGUGGAAUAAAAUAGGCUAGGGAAGUCGGCAAAAUAGAUCUGUAACCUUGGAAAAAGGGUUGGCUCUGCAGGCUAUAAAACAAUGUUCUUUGACAUUAGCUAGUUUUGGGAGUUUUACUUCUGAUUCUUGUGAAGUCUUUGAAUCUGUUUUUGAUAUGCUAUAGUAGAACCGAGACAUUAAGGGGAAUCCGACAGUUUAACUAAAACCAAGCACUCUGAAUGUGUUAACAUCAGCACAGAGUGUGAAUUCUGCCCGGUGCUUUGAAUGUCAAUGUGAGGAGACUCAUUUAAGCGCGGGUUAACGGCAGGCGUAACUAUGACGCUUUCAACGUAGCAAAAUGCCUCGUCAUCUAAUUAGUGACUCGCAUGAACGGAUUAAUGAGAUUCCUACUGUCCCUGUCUAUUUUCCAGCGAAUCUACAGCUUAGGGAACGGGCUAAGCU